Cyprinus carpio carpio is the source of this 843-nucleotide long non-coding RNA. The record is from Ensembl. NCBI's taxonomy places the organism in Eukaryota, Metazoa, Chordata, Actinopteri, Cypriniformes, Cyprinidae.
AUUUGGGUUUAUAAUGAAUAUGUGGAUUGUUCUUUUGAGCAGAUAUUGUAUAUUUAUUUCUCAGAUUCUGUAAUACAUUAUAUUAUGUUACAGCCAUCUACUACACUGGUUUUGCAGUUCUAUAGAGUAUAAUGUAGAUGUGUCUGAUGUUUUGAAGGAAAAACAACAACAUUAUUCUUAUGUGUUACUAUUGAUAUGUUUGAAGAAUAUACACACAUCCAGCCAUUUCAUCACUUUAUUUUUCCUUUAACGAAAGAAAUGUAUUAUUUGCACAAUAAUGUAUCUGCUACAUAAUGUUAAAUAUGUAUACAAGUGAGUUACGUCAUCCUCAUUUGCGGAUAGACGCUGGCGAGGAAAGACGCACUUAUUUUCUCUCGCUCUUCCUACUUAAUGUUGUGUGUGAUGUGGGAAGAGGUUGGCGCAACGAAAAAUAUUGAUCAAAUUGUCCCAUAUGUUUCCAGGUAUGUUCAGUUCUUCAAUUUAACCAGCAUAACGUGAUCUAAUUUUUGUAAUUUGGGUUUAUAAUGAAUAUGUGGAUUGUUCUUUUGAGCAGAUAUUGUAUAUUUAUUUCUCAGAUUCUGUAAUACAUUAUAUUAUGUUACAGCCAUCUACUACACUGGUUUUGCAGUUCUAUAGAGUAUAAUGUAGAUGUGUCUGAUGUUUUGAAGGAAAAACAACAACAUUAUUCUUAUGUGUUACUAUUGAUAUGUUUGAAGAAUAUACACACAUCCAGCCAUUUCAUCACUUUAUUUUUCCUUUAACGAAAGAAAUGUAUUAUUUGCACAAUAAUGUAUCUGCUACAUAAUGUUAAAUAUGUAUACAAGUGAGUUACGUCAUCCUCAG